RNAcentral lists this transfer RNA (67 nucleotides) under Taenia crassiceps. RNAcentral describes it as "tRNA-Val". The record is from RNAcentral. Lineage: Eukaryota; Metazoa; Platyhelminthes; Cestoda; Cyclophyllidea; Taeniidae.
AGUAAUAUAGUUUAUUGAAAAUGUUUGUUUUACACACAAGAGAACUUAUUUUUAGGUUUUACUAUUU